AUGCAAGUCGAACGCAGUAGCAAUACUGAGUGGCAGACGGGUGAGUAUGAUGUGGGAAUCUGCCUUUUGGUUUGGAAUAACUCGGGGAAACUUGAGCUAAUACUGGAUAAGCCCUUACGGGGAAAGCUUUAUGCGCCAAAAGACGAGCCCGCACUUGAUUAGCUAGUUGGUGAGGUAAAAGCUCACCAAGGCAACGAUCAAUAGCUGUUCUUAGAGGAAGACCAGCCACAUUGGGACUGAGACACGGCCCAGACUCCUACGGGAGGCAGCAGUAAGGAAUCUUGCACAAUGGGGGAAACCCUGAUGCAGCGAUGCCGCGUGAGUGAAGAAGGCCUUUGGGUUGUAAAACUCUUUCGUUGGGGAAGAAAAUGACUGUACCCAAAUAAGAAGGUCCGGCUAACUUCGUGCCAGCAGCCGCGGUAAUACGAAGGGACCUAGCGUAGUUCGGAAUUACUGGGCUUAAAGAGCUCGUAGGUGGUUAAAAAAGUUGAUGGUGAAAUCCCAAGGCUCAACCUUGGAACUGCCAUCAAAACUUUUUAGCUAGAGUGUGAUAGAGGAAAGUGGAAUUUCUAGUGUAGAGGUGAAAUUCGUAGAUAUUAGAAAGAACACCAAAAGCGAAGGCAACUUUCUGGAUCACUACUGACACUGAGGAGCGAAAGCAUGGGUAGCGAAGAGGAUUAGAUACCCUCGUAGUCCAUGUUGUAAACGAUGUGUGCUAGACGUUGGAAAUUUAUUUUCAGUGUCGCAGCAAAAGCGUUAAGCACACCGCCUGGGGAGUACGACCGCAAGGUUAAAACUCAAAUGAAUUGACGGGGACCCGCACAAGCAGUGGAGCAUGUGGUUUAAUUCGAAGAUACGCGCAGAACCUUACCAACACUUGACAUGUUCGUCGCGAGC
Molecule: ribosomal RNA, 897 nt
Filed under: uncultured marine bacterium
Lineage: Bacteria
Description: bacterial SSU rRNA
Rfam family: Bacterial small subunit ribosomal RNA
Source: RNAcentral